UAGGAUUAUGUCCUAAUGGAUAAUGGA
This 27-nucleotide non-coding RNA is filed under the name Homo sapiens (human). Lineage: Eukaryota; Metazoa; Chordata; Mammalia; Primates; Hominidae. The record is from RNAcentral.